UACGUAGGGUCCGAGCGUUGUCCGGAAUUACUGGGCGUAAAGAGCUCGUAGGUGGUUUGUCGCGUUGUUCGUGAAAACCGGGGGCUUAACCCUCGGCGUGCGGGCGAUACGGGCAGACUGGAGUACUGCAGGGGAGACUGGAAUUCCUGGUGUAGCGGUGGAAUGCGCAGAUAUCAGGAGGAACACCGGUGGCGAAGGCGGGUCUCUGGGCAGUAACUGACGCUGAGGAG
Molecule: ribosomal RNA, 230 nt
Filed under: uncultured microorganism
Description: partial 16S ribosomal RNA
Rfam family: Bacterial small subunit ribosomal RNA
Source: RNAcentral